Molecule: ribosomal RNA, 459 nt
Filed under: uncultured bacterium
Lineage: Bacteria
Description: partial 16S ribosomal RNA
Rfam family: Bacterial small subunit ribosomal RNA
Source: RNAcentral
CCUACGGGAGGCAGCAGUGAGGAAUAUUGGUCAAUGGCCGAGAGGCUGAACCAGCCAAGUCGCGUGAGGGAAGACGGCCCUACGGGUUGUAAACCUCUUUUGUCAGGGAACAAAGGCGAGGACGUGUCCCCGGCUGCGUGUACCUGACGAAAAAGCAUCGGCUAACUCCGUGCCAGCAGCCGCGGUAAUACGGAGGAUGCGUGCGUUAUCCGGAUUUAUUGGGUUUAAAGGGUGCGCAGGCGGUCUGUUAAGUCAGCGGUCAAAGCCCGGGACUCAACCCCGGCCCGCCGUUGAAACUGGCAGUCUCGAGUUGGAGAGAAGUAUGCGGAAUGCGCGGUGUAGCGGUGAAAUGCAUAGAUAUCGCGCAGAACUCCGAUUGCGAAGGCAGCAUGCCGGCUCCACACUGACGCUGAGGCACGAAAGCGUGGGUAUCGAACAGGAUUAGAUACCCCAGUAGUC